GAAAAGGUGAAGAACGGGAAGAGUAGCAUAUGCAUGCUUUACAGAGAAGGAAGGUCAUCGGCUGAGAGCCCUCCGAAAGAACGGAUAUGUGAAGUGCGCCCGGGAGCCGGAUCUGUGAAAAGAGAGUAGCAGACCACGUAAGCAGUCGUUACCUGCAUACAUGAGUGAAAAGGGCGGACGCCCUUUUUAAUAGAGUGGAACCGCGGAUCAACUUCGUCUCUAAG
This 224-nucleotide non-coding RNA is filed under the name Ruminococcus sp. RNAcentral describes it as "T-box sequence". It matches the Rfam family "T-box leader". Rfam says of the family: Uncharged tRNA acts as the effector for transcription antitermination of genes in the T-box leader family. T-boxes are found upstream of many aminoacyl-tRNA synthetase genes and some amino acid biosynthetic genes usually in Gram-positive bacteria. The record is from RNAcentral. Lineage: Bacteria; Bacillati; Bacillota; Clostridia; Eubacteriales; Oscillospiraceae.